RNAcentral lists this ribosomal RNA (329 nucleotides) under Eutropis macularia (bronze grass skink). RNAcentral's name for it is "partial 12S ribosomal RNA". It matches the Rfam family "Bacterial small subunit ribosomal RNA", at positions 886 to 1384 of the family's 1533-position model. The record is from RNAcentral. Lineage: Eukaryota; Metazoa; Chordata; Lepidosauria; Squamata; Scincidae.
GUGAAAAACUUAAAACUCCAAGGACUUGGCGGUGCUCCACACCGACCUAGAGGAGCCUGUCCUAUAAUCGAUACCCCCCGUUUUACCUUACCAUUUUUUGAAACUCAGCCUAUAUACCGCCGUCGCCAGCCUACCUUAUGAAAGAUCAAAAGUAGGCAAAACAGUCACCGACUAACACGUCAGGUCAAGGUGUAGCACAUAAAAUGGAAGAGAUGGGCUACAUUUUCUACUUUAGAAAACACGAACAUCACGGUGAAACCCGUCCUUUAAGGAGGAUUUAGCUGUAAGGCGGACAAGAGAAUCCACCUAAACCCCGCUCUGGAGCGCGC